UGGGUAUGAAGAGGUGGCCAUGCUUGCAUGGCUCCCAUGCAUGCAUAGAGCUUCAUGCAAACGUGGGGAAUGACGGAAAUGAACGAAUGGGGAUGCAUGGGAGGUUAUGAAGGAUCAGGUGGGUAGUACGAACAUGGGUAUGGUGAUUGUAACGGAGGGUGGCAAGUGGAUAUGUGAAUGUAGAGAGAGAGGAGGGUGGUGACGGGUAUGUCGGUUAGAAGGAUGAUGAGGUGAGGGUGACCAUGCAUUUUGGACCUCAUGCACAUGGGGAAAUGGUGGAAGUAAGUUGAAGGUGGGUUAGAUGGGUGGGCAAGAAGGGUGGUGGAGUGAUGAGGAUUAAGCAAACACAAGAACAUGAAACACAUGAUGAUACGGAGCCCCAUUACAGGUGACGCCCAUAAGCUUAAAACAAGUGAGAUUAACAAGGAAAAUAAACAAGGGUUUCAUAUAUCAAGCUUCAGAAACAAACUCAUG
Molecule: long non-coding RNA, 474 nt
Filed under: Vitis vinifera (wine grape)
Lineage: Eukaryota; Viridiplantae; Streptophyta; Magnoliopsida; Vitales; Vitaceae
Description: long non-coding RNA (VVIN_LNC000538)
Source: RNAcentral